GCAGCUGCUCCUCUGUGGUCCAGCGGGAGUUGAUCUUGGGGACAGACUGCAGAGAGACAGACAAGGCGUGAGAGUGAGCAAGUCUGCGCAAGAGAGGCUGAGCCUCAGGCCGCUGUUGGUCUGCUUGAUGCUCUGGACCUGUUAGAAGACCAGGAGAAGUUCAGAGCUUCUCGGAAAAAGAAGAGUGGAGCCACUUGCACCAACAUUACCCGUCUCUUCAGCGACACCAACUGGCCGUCCAGCUGCUUGAGACACAGGACCCCCGCAUCUGAGGAGGCCGAGACGGCAUUGAUGUCCUCCUG
This is a long non-coding RNA of Paramormyrops kingsleyae, 302 nucleotides long. RefSeq lists it as uncharacterized. The record is from RefSeq and is a predicted model, not a curated record. NCBI's taxonomy places the organism in Eukaryota, Metazoa, Chordata, Actinopteri, Osteoglossiformes, Mormyridae.